This 484-nucleotide ribosomal RNA is filed under the name uncultured bacterium. Its description in RNAcentral is "partial 16S ribosomal RNA". It matches the Rfam family "Bacterial small subunit ribosomal RNA", at positions 30 to 507 of the family's 1533-position model. The record is from RNAcentral.
AUUGAACGCUGGCGGAAUGCUUUACACAUGCAAGCCGAGCGGCAGCACGGGGGUAACCCUGGUGGCGAGCGGCGAACGGGUGAGUAAUACAUCGGAACAUGCCCAGUCGUGGGGGAUAACACUUCGAAAGAAGUGCUAAUACCGCAUACGUCCUGAGGGAGAAAGCGGGGGAUCGCAAGACCUCGCGCGAUUGGAGUGGCCGAUGUCAGAUUAGCUAGUUGGUGGGGUAAAGGCCUACCAAGGCAACGAUCUGUAGCUGGUCUGAGAGGAUGAUCAGCCACACUGGGACUGAGACACGGCCCAGACUCCUACGGGAGGCAGCAGUGGGGAAUUUUGGACAAUGGGGGCAACCCUGAUCCAGCCAUUCCGCGUGAGUGAAGAAGGCCUUCGGGUUGUAAAGCUCUUUCGGCAGGAACGAAACGGUGAGCUCUAACAUAGCUUGCUAAUGACGGUACCUGAAGAAGAAGCACCGGCUAACUACGUG